This 1147-nucleotide long non-coding RNA is filed under the name Equus asinus (donkey). Its description in RNAcentral is "lncRNA (ENSEASG00005027195.1)". The record is from RNAcentral. Lineage: Eukaryota; Metazoa; Chordata; Mammalia; Perissodactyla; Equidae.
AAAUAGACCACAAAAAGGAUACUUGUUCACGUUAUAAGAGCUGAAAUGAAAAGCAGAGCAUCAGUCACCUUACUGGACUUCAGCUGGGGACCGACCUGUCGGGCGAUUCAUCUCUUGCUGCUCUGCACGUGUCUGGGAAUGACAUCGGUAGCAAAAGGAGGAAACAAAAUAACCUGUUCAAGGUCACCCGCGAGGAAGCGGCAGGGCGGCGAUUUGAACUCAAGGCUGUCUGAGCGCUUAACCACCAUGCCAUCUGCCUUCACACACCAGACGCGCUGACCAGGGGGCAGGUUCCGGCGAAAACAUCUGGCUGCACGUAGAAUUCACUUUCAUUUUACAUUUGAGAAAACUGAACUCAAGCAUGUUAUGUAAUGGAAAUGAGUCACUCAGCUACUCAGAUGCCACCUCCUCCUGGAAGCCUACCUUGACCACCAAAAACGGAAUGUCCCUCGGUGUAUCCCCACAGCCCCUUCUCACGGCACUCGCCGUGGGGUCCUAACGGCUUGUUUGACAUUCUGUCUUCCUCUGUGAAUUCAGGAACGCGGUCUCUCUUGUUCAGUGCCACAACCCCUGCGUCUAUCCCAUGGUUAGGCCAGAGCAGUGGUUCACCAAACAUUUGUUGGAGAAACGGAUGAGUUUAAGAGUCGAUUGUUCAGGAAAAUGUAGCUGAUGGCUUCCUGGCGGAGUUCUCUGCCUCGCCUCCCUCAUGGCUUCGUCGUAACGCUUCCUCACUGUUUCAGUUUCCUGUGGCAGCUGCAGCAAAUGACCACAAACUGCGUGUUUUAAAAGAAUAGGAAUUCCUUCUCUCCCCAUUCUGGGAGCCAGCGGUCUGAGGUCCAGCAGAGCUGUGCUCCCUCCGGCUGCUCUGGGAGAAUCUGCUCCUCGCCUCUUCCAGCUUCCGGCGACCCGUGGCCGCGUGGCUCGCAUCGCUGCCUCCACCUCUGUCUUCACAUGGCCUGUGCCUCCUCCUGUCUGUCUCUGUGCGUCUCUCAUAAGGACACUAGCAUUGGAUUUAGGGCCCACUUGGAUAAUCCAGGAUGAUCUCUCAAGAUCCUUAAUGACAUUGCAAAGACCCUAUUUCCAAAUAAAGCCAUGUCCACAGGUCCUGGAGAUGAGGAUGUGAACAUAUUGUUGGGAGGCCACCAUU